Molecule: ribosomal RNA, 116 nt
Filed under: Labrus bergylta (ballan wrasse)
Lineage: Eukaryota; Metazoa; Chordata; Actinopteri; Labriformes; Labridae
Source: RNAcentral
GCUUACGGCCAUACCACCCUGAACACGCCCGAUCUCGUCAGAUCUCGGAAGCUAAGCAGGGUCGGGCCUGGUUAGUACUUGGAUGGGAGACCUGGGAAUACCAGGUGCUGUAAGCU